GCGGCGAGGCGGGCGGCGGCGGCGAGGCGGUCGGCGGCGGCGCGGCGGAGAGGCGGACAGCGGCGGAGAGGCGGACAGCGGCGGAGAGGCGCACAGCGGCGGAGAGGCGCACAGCGGCGGCGAGGCGCACAGCGGCGGCGCAGGCGCGGAGAGGCGCAGGCCCAGGCUCCACUCCCCAGCUGUGAAAGGUGACGGGAACAGUAAGAAUGAGGCUUGGAACGCGG
Molecule: long non-coding RNA, 224 nt
Filed under: Homo sapiens (human)
Lineage: Eukaryota; Metazoa; Chordata; Mammalia; Primates; Hominidae
Description: non-protein coding lnc-FOXD4L5-21:2
Source: RNAcentral